RNAcentral lists this ribosomal RNA (1502 nucleotides) under uncultured bacterium. Its description in RNAcentral is "bacterial SSU rRNA". It matches the Rfam family "Bacterial small subunit ribosomal RNA". The record is from RNAcentral.
AGAGUUUGAUCCUGGCUCAGAACGAACGCUGGCGGCGUGCUUAACACAUGCAAGUCGAACGAGAAAAUCCCUUCGGGGAUGAGUAGAGUGGCGCACGGGUGAGUAACGCGUGGGUAAUCUGCCCUAGGGUGGGGGAUAACGUCUGGAAACGGGCGCUAAUACCGCAUACACCGGAAACGGAAAAGGUGGGGAUCUUCGGACCUGCCGCCCUUGGAUGAGCCCGCGUAUCAUUAGGUAGUUGGUGGGGUAAUGGCCUACCAAGCCGAAGAUGAUUAGCUGGUCUGAGAGGAUGAUCAGCCACACUGGGACUGAGACACGGCCCAGACUCCUACGGGAGGCAGCAGUGGGGAAUAUUGCGCAAUGGAGGAAACUCUGACGCAGCAACGCCGCGUGUGUGAAGAAGGUUUUCGGAUCGUAAAGCACUGUUGAGUAGGAAGAGACGGGAUUGGUUAAUACCCAGUCCCCCGACGGUACUACUCGAGGAAGCACCGGCUAACUCCGUGCCAGCAGCCGCGGCAAUACGGAGGGUGCAAGCGUUGUUCGGAAUUAUUGGGCGUAAAGGGCGCGUAGGCGGGCCAUUAAGUCUGAUGUGAAAUCCCUCGGCUCAACCGAGGACGUGCAUUGGAAACUGAUGGUCUUGAGUCCUGGAGAGGAAGGCGGAAUUCCCAGUGUAGAGGUGAAAUUCGUAGAUAUUGGGAGGAACACCAGCGGCGAAGGCGGCCUUCUGGACAGUGACUGACGCUGAGGUGCGAAAGCGUGGGUAGCAAACAGGAUUAGAUACCCUGGUAGUCCACGCCGUAAACGAUGGGUACUAGUUGGGUGCGGGUGUUGACCCCUGCGCUGACAAAGCUAACGCAUUAAGUACCCCGCCUGGGGAGUACGGCCGCAAGGCUAAAACUCAAAGGAAUUGACGGGGGCCCGCACAAGCGGUGGAGCAUGUGGAUUAAUUCGAAGCAACGCGAAGAACCUUACCUAGCCUUGACAUCCUUGGAACUCUCCCGAAAAGGAGAGGUGCCCUUCGGGGAAUCAAGUGACAGGUGCUGCAUGGCUGUCGUCAGCUCGUGUCGUGAGAUGUUGGGUUAAGUCCCGCAACGAGCGCAACCCUUGUCUUUAGUUGCCAGCAUUUAGUUGGGCACUCUAGAGAGACUGCCGGUGUCAAGCCGGAGGAAGGUGGGGACGACGUCAAGUCAUCAUGGCCCUUACGGCUAGGGCUUCACACGUGCUACAAUGGACGGUACAAAGGGUCGCGAAGCCGCGAGGUGGAGCCAAUCCCAAAAAGCCGUUCUCAGUUCGGAUUGGAGUCUGCAACUCGACUCCAUGAAGUCGGAAUCGCUAGUAAUCGUGGAUCAGCAUGCCACGGUGAAUACGUUCCCGGGCCUUGUACACACCGCCCGUCACACCAUGGGAGUUGAUUGGACCAGAAGUCGUUAAGCCAACCUUCGGGAGGCAGACGCCCAAGGUCUGAUGAGCGACUGGGGUGAAGUCAUAACAAGGUAGCCGUA